GGUGAGAUGGCCGAGCGGUCUAAGGCGCCAGACUAAGGAUCAGGGCAGUAGCUGUCCAUACCAGAGUGGGAUUCGAACCCACUAAAAUCAUCUGGUCCUCCGGGGCAUGGGUUCGAAUCCCAUUCUCAUCA
This 131-nucleotide transfer RNA is filed under the name Hypsizygus marmoreus. It matches the Rfam family "tRNA". From Rfam's summary of the family: Transfer RNA (tRNA) molecules are approximately 80 nucleotides in length. Their secondary structure includes four short double-helical elements and three loops (D, anti-codon, and T loops). The record is from Rfam by way of RNAcentral. Lineage: Eukaryota; Fungi; Basidiomycota; Agaricomycetes; Agaricales; Lyophyllaceae.